GAUGAACGCUGGCGGCGUGCUUAACACAUGCAAGUCGAACGGUGAAGGCGGAGCUUGCUCUGCUGGAUCAGUGGCGAACGGGUGAGUAACACGUGAGCAAUCUGCCCCUGACUCUGGGAUAAGCGCUGGAAACGGCGUCUAAUACUGGAUACGAGCUGCGAAGGCAUCUUCAGCAGCUGGAAAGAACUUCGGUCAGGGAUGAGCUCGCGGCCUAUCAGCUUGUUGGUGAGGUAAGGGCUCACCAAGGCGUCGACGGGUAGCCGGCCUGGGAGGGUGACCGGCCACACUGGGACUGAGCGACGGCCCAGACUCCUACGGGAGGCAGCAGUGGGGAAUAUUGCACAAUGGGCGAAAGCCUGAUGCAGCAACGCCGCGUGCGGGACGACGGCCUUCGGGUUGUAAACCUCUUUUAGCAGGGAAGAAGCGAAAGUGACGGUACCUGCAGAAAAAGCGCCGGCUAACUACGUG
Molecule: ribosomal RNA, 468 nt
Filed under: uncultured bacterium
Lineage: Bacteria
Description: partial 16S ribosomal RNA
Rfam family: Bacterial small subunit ribosomal RNA
Source: RNAcentral